Molecule: long non-coding RNA, 1322 nt
Filed under: Capra hircus (goat)
Lineage: Eukaryota; Metazoa; Chordata; Mammalia; Artiodactyla; Bovidae
Description: lncRNA (ENSCHIG00010000736.1)
Source: RNAcentral
AAAUUUACAAAACCAGAAGUCAUAAUUAGCUUUUUUCUUCUGUCCCUUCUCUUUAGCAGGUUUCCCAGCAGUUCCUUUGGCAGCUAAGGAUAUAAAAGCUGUAUUUAGGCACAGUGGAAAAAUAUUGUGUCCUCUUGAUGUCUGCAUGGGUGUGGUGGGUUGAAUUGCUGUUUAGAAAUACUCCUUCCUUCCGCUUAGCUUCCACAGGAGGAAUUUAUGUCCACUUCUUGACUGUGGGAUUCAUCACAAAACCUCCUUUGGCCAACAGAGCAACUCAGAAGUGGCAGGGCACUGCUGAGAUAAGACUUUAGAGACCUUUCAUGUUGCUGCUUGCUUUUUCCCACUUCUGACACCACCAUGAGAUGCACAUCCUCAGCCUGGCCUGCUGCCUCCAAAAGAAAACAAGAGCCUGGAUCACCUGACUUCCAGCUAGGCAUCAAAUGGAUGAAAAGGCCCGCCUGAGACUGGCAGGACCUCCAGCAGACAGGUGAACUCAAAAAACCUCUAUGGGCUUUUUUCUUUUUGUUUUGCUAUUACUGAGUUUUGAAUCUUUUUAUUGAGCACCAUAAGCAAGGAAAGGGAAUCUGUGGUAGUGUGUGGUACAGUUAAUCUCAAAAGCCUAGAAUCUAUCUGGAGACACACAUUUUGCUAAAGGAGAUAGUUUAUAAGGAGACCUGUUGGUUAGGGCAAUGAUCCCAAAGUCUUAGAAGGUUCUCUGGAUGCCUCCUUCCCUGUUAGUUGUUACUAAAGGAGAAAAGUAGACCUGAAUAUUACAGAAAAGUUUUCAGAAGAAGUUAAACUUUCUUGAGUCUAAAAUGAUAUUGAUUAUAGAUAUAGCUAACAUUUGUUGAAUGAAUUACUGUGUUCCAGAAACUGUUCUUAGUGCUUUUUCAUGUGCAUAACUUUUUCUUUAUAAUAACUUCAUGUCCUCAGUAGCAUACCAGUCUCCAUUUAAAAGACAAAGAAACCAAGGUACGUACGUUUUUAAUAACUUAAAGUAACAGAGUCACUCAAGCACCAGGUGCAAGGAUUGAGAUUCAGAUUUGAUUUAUCUAACUUUGGAGUUUUUAUUCCUAAGCAUGAUUCUAUAUAGUAUUAUAAAACAUACUAUUUUUCCCAUAGAAAGGCAUAUUAAAAAAAUUUUUUUUUUGUAGUAUAGUUGAUUUACAGUGUUGUGUUAGUUUCUACUGUUUGGCAAAGCGAAUCAGUUUCACAUAUACAAAUAUCCACUCUUAAUUUUUUUAUUCUUUCCUCGCAUAGUUUAUUACAGCAUACUGAGUAGAGUUCCCUGUGCCCCAUAGCAGGUUCUUAUUAAGGAAGUU